This 468-nucleotide ribosomal RNA is filed under the name uncultured bacterium. RNAcentral's name for it is "partial 16S ribosomal RNA". It matches the Rfam family "Bacterial small subunit ribosomal RNA", at positions 28 to 507 of the family's 1533-position model. The record is from RNAcentral.
GACGAACGCUGGCGGCGUGCUUAACACAUGCAAGUCGAACGGAAAGGCCCUGCUUUUGUGGGGUGCUCGAGUGGCGAACGGGUGAGUAACACGUGAGUAACCUGCCCUUGACUUUGGGAUAACUUCAGGAAACUGGGGCUAAUACCGGAUAGGAGCUCCUGCUGCAUGGUGGGGGUUGGAACGUCUCGGCGGUUGGGGAUGGACUCGCGGCUUAUCAGCUUGUUGGUGGGGUAGUGGCUUACCAAGGAUUUGACGGGUAGCCGGCAUGGGAGGGUGACCGGCCACAAUGGGACUGAGAGACGGACCAGACUCCUAUGGGAGGCAGCAGUGGGGAAUAUUGCACAAUGGUCGGAAGCCUGAUGCAGCAACGCCGCGUGUGGGAUGACGGCCUUCGGGUUGUAAACCGCUUUCGCCUGUGACGAAGCGUGAGUGACGGUAAUGGGUAAAGAAGCACCGGCUAACUACGUG